GAUGAACGCUGGCGGCGUGCUUAACACAUGCAAGUCGAACGAUGAAGCCCAGCUUGCUGGGUGGAUUAGUGGAGAACGGGUGAGUAACACGUGAGUAACCUGCCCUUAACUCUGGGAUAAGCCGGGGAAACUGGGUCUAAUACCGGAUAGGAGCGUCCACCGCAGGGUGGGUGUUGGAAAGAUUUAUCGGUUUUGGAUGGACUCGCGGCCUAUCAGCUUGUUGGUGAGGUAAUGGCUCACCAAGGCGACGACGGGUAGCCGGCCUGAGAGGGUGACCGGCCACACUGGGACUGAGAGACGGCCCAGACGCCUACGGGAGGCAACAGUGGGGAAUAUUGCACAAUGGGCGAGAGCCUGAUGCAGCGACGCCGCGUGAGGGAUGACCGCCUUCGGGUUGUAAACCUCUUUCAGUAGGGAAGAAGCGAAAGUGACGGUACCUGCAGAAGAAGCACCGGCUAACUACGUG
This 466-nucleotide ribosomal RNA is filed under the name uncultured bacterium. RNAcentral's name for it is "partial 16S ribosomal RNA". It matches the Rfam family "Bacterial small subunit ribosomal RNA", at positions 28 to 507 of the family's 1533-position model. The record is from RNAcentral.